GGGUUGUGAGGUUAAGCGACUAAGCGUACACGGUGGAUGCCCUGGCAGUCAGAGGCGAUGAAGGGCGUGCUAAUCUGCGAUAAGCGCCGGUAAGGUGAUAUGAACCGUUAUAACCGGCGAUACCCGAAUGGGGAAACCCAGUGUGAUUCGUCACACUAUCAUUAACUGAAUCCAUAGGUUAAUGAGGCGAACCGGGGGAACUGAAACAUCUAAGUACCCCGAGGAAAAGAAAUCAACCGAGAUUCCCCCAGUAGCGGCGAGCGAACGGGGAGGAGCCCAGAGCCUGAAUCAGCAUGUGUGUUAGUGGAAGCGUCUGGAAAGGCGCGCGAUACAGGGUGACAGCCCCGUACACAAAAGCGCAUGUGCUGUGAGCUCGAUGAGUAGGGCGGGACACGUGGUAUCCUGUCUGAAUAUGGGGGGACCAUCCUCCAAGGCUAAAUACUCCUGACUGACCGAUAGUGAACCAGUACCGUGAGGGAAAGGCGAAAAGAACCCCGGCGAGGGGAGUGAAAAAGAACCUGAAACCGUGUACGUACAAGCAGUGGGAGCACAGGUUUACCUGUGUGACUGCGUACCUUUUGUAUAAUGGGUCAGCGACUUAUAUUCUGUAGCAAGGUUAACCGAAUAGGGGAGCCGGAGGGAAACC
This 646-nucleotide ribosomal RNA is filed under the name Salmonella enterica subsp. enterica serovar Muenchen. RNAcentral's name for it is "partial 23S ribosomal RNA". It matches the Rfam family "Bacterial large subunit ribosomal RNA", at positions 1 to 678 of the family's 2925-position model. RNAcentral also lists the same sequence under 1 other name. The record is from RNAcentral. Lineage: Bacteria; Pseudomonadati; Pseudomonadota; Gammaproteobacteria; Enterobacterales; Enterobacteriaceae.